CUUUGCUGAAGAGAUGAAAAUCAGGGUUCCAGCCUACGAACUACGCUUAUAUGCACUCUAGCCACGCCCAUUUUGGCGGGCUUUGAUGCAGUAAGCGCGCGGACGCCUCUCAUUGGACGCAAGUUCACCCAAGUUCGUCUAUAGGCUGCAGCAGUUGCCGCAGAGCAACCAAUGAGCUCGCUAGCUAGCCCGCUCAAGGUCUGCAAUUGCUGCACUGCGUUGACAAAUUAUACAAAAUUAAGGAUAAUUUUUUGGCUUCAAUAUCUCAGAAAAGAUUAAUCUUUCCCGUAGCGUAAGCUAGCUUAUGCAAUCCGAGAGAACCUCUCGUAAGAGAACUCCUAUUCACUUGCAUUUUAUGGGUGUAUUCACAUCAUACAUCCAUCAAAAUAUAAGUCACAUGACUUAAAAGCAGUAAUGUUUAGAUAGUUCGGCAAAGUUCUGAUAUUCUGAUACUUCUACAAAGAUUUUAUGAUGCUCAGUGUUAUGUGUAUUGUUUUUAAUCUAUCAAUAUUUUGCUUCACAGGUGCCAAAGGCUCCAUCCAAGUCUUCUCUGUCUGGUUCUGCCAAAUGUUGCAGUGAUGCUAAUUAUGUGGAGUUAGCACAUGGCACAGGUAUAAAAUGGCCUCCUUCCCACUGGAGAUUCUGAUCCACAGCAAUUUGAAAGGAGGAAUGAGUAAAACUGAAUGAGUAAAACUGACUGUGGUGCAGAGAGAAGGAAUGCCCUUGACAAGGACACACACCAUGGCAGCAAUAUAUGUGGCAGUGAAGAAGUUUCCCAAUGUGUCCAGAGGAGCUUUGGGGUUUGCAGUGAAUUCUAAGAUGGGGGAACUGAGAUGGCUUGA
Long non-coding RNA from Xyrauchen texanus (razorback sucker), 842 nucleotides. RefSeq lists it as uncharacterized. NCBI's taxonomy places the organism in Eukaryota, Metazoa, Chordata, Actinopteri, Cypriniformes, Catostomidae. The transcript is spliced from 5 exons. The record is from RefSeq and is a predicted model, not a curated record.